UUGUGGUGAGUAGGUCUUUUUGAACACAUUUAUCCACGCAUACGCAAGAGAGCAAAAGAGCCAUGGUCUCUCUACAAUAAAUUUUGCCCUAACUCUCGCUUUUGGCAGCUACGGUUAUGCCAUUAAGUAUCCUCCUGGGUGGAGUGCGCCAAGCUUUAAGAGUUUUCAAGAGAUGUUGAACACUGGAGAAAAAAUCUGGCUGACGAAGCGCACCUACGAUGUGGAGAGGAUUGAUUGCGUUUACUGGGAGAGAUUGCACUUAACAAGACCGAUUACGACUACUUUUACUGGCGCCGAAGGAACCCUAGAAGGCGUGACUGGACUAAACAAGCACCGGGAAUAAAGAAAGAACAUUGGCAUGCCAAGUUUUGCUACGUAGGUCGUUGGCCAACAAUGAGACUCAGACACUACCUAGAAAAGGUAC
This is a long non-coding RNA of Rhipicephalus sanguineus (brown dog tick), 424 nucleotides long. RefSeq lists it as uncharacterized. NCBI's taxonomy places the organism in Eukaryota, Metazoa, Arthropoda, Arachnida, Ixodida, Ixodidae. The transcript has 3 exons. The record is from RefSeq and is a predicted model, not a curated record.